RNAcentral lists this ribosomal RNA (733 nucleotides) under Pseudomonas sp. Its description in RNAcentral is "bacterial SSU rRNA". It matches the Rfam family "Bacterial small subunit ribosomal RNA", at positions 25 to 747 of the family's 1533-position model. Lineage: Bacteria; Pseudomonadati; Pseudomonadota; Gammaproteobacteria; Pseudomonadales; Pseudomonadaceae. The record is from RNAcentral.
UAGAUUGAACGCUGGCGGCAGGCCUAACACAUGCAAGUCGAGCGGUAACAGAGAGUAGCUUGCUACUUUGCUGACGAGCGGCGGACGGGUGAGUAAUGCCUAGGAAUCUGCCUAGUAGUGGGGGAUAACGUUCGGAAACGAACGCUAAUACCGCAUACGUCCUACGGGAGAAAGUGGGGGAUCUUCGGACCUCACGCUAUUAGAUGAGCCUAGGUCGGAUUAGCUAGUUGGUGAGGUAAUGGCUCACCAAGGCUACGAUCCGUAACUGGUCUGAGAGGAUGAUCAGUCACACUGGAACUGAGACACGGUCCAGACUCCUACGGGAGGCAGCAGUGGGGAAUAUUGGACAAUGGGCGAAAGCCUGAUCCAGCCAUGCCGCGUGUGUGAAGAAGGUCUUCGGAUUGUAAAGCACUUUAAGUUGGGAGGAAGGGCAGUAAAUUAAUACUUUGCUGUUUUGACGUUACCGACAGAAUAAGCACCGGCUAACUCUGUGCCAGCAGCCGCGGUAAUACAGAGGGUGCAAGCGUUAAUCGGAAUUACUGGGCGUAAAGCGCGCGUAGGCGGUUUGUUAAGUUGGAUGUGAAAGCCCCGGGCUCAACCUGGGAACUGCAUCCAAAACUGGCAAGCUAGAGUACAGUAGAGGGUGGUGGAAUUUCCUGUGUAGCGGUGAAAUGCGUAGAUAUAGGAAGGAACACCAGUGGCGAAGGCGACCACCUGGACUGAUACUGACGCU